RNAcentral lists this unclassified non-coding RNA (251 nucleotides) under uncultured fungus. RNAcentral's name for it is "partial contains 5.8S ribosomal RNA, internal transcribed spacer 2, and large subunit ribosomal RNA". Lineage: Eukaryota; Fungi. The record is from RNAcentral.
AACGCAUAUUGCGCCCCUUGGCAUUCCGGGGGGCACACCUGUUCGAGCGCCAUUUUGACCCUCAAGCAUAGCUUGGUGUUGGGCAUGGUCCCGGGGGACUUGCCCGUAACUCGUAGGCGGCUGCCGCCCGUGCCCCCAGCGUAGCAAGCUCAAGCGUUCGCUCAGGGACGGUGCGUCUGGCCCGCCAGGCAAAACCAAAACCCUUCCCAAGGUUUGGCCUCGGAUCAGGUGGGGAUACCCGCUGAACUUAA